This is a non-coding RNA of Macaca mulatta (Rhesus monkey), 336 nucleotides long. NCBI's taxonomy places the organism in Eukaryota, Metazoa, Chordata, Mammalia, Primates, Cercopithecidae. The record is from RefSeq and is a predicted model, not a curated record.
GACACUUGGCUUUUUGGAUACUUCAGAGGGCCCCUGGAGUGUCCAGAAAAGAGAGGACGCAAUUGGAAAACGUGGUUAUUUUACCAUGACUUUGACUGGAAAGGUAACCAAACUCCAAGCAGUGACGGAACCAGAGCCUCUGACGAUGGCCCCUUCUGCUGGCAACCCUUAGGCCUCAGAGGGAGCUCUGACUUCGGUUUCCCCCAAACAGCAUACCCUGUCAGUGGAAAGCGGUUAGGAUCAAUCUUCAGGCCCACUUGGUGGCUGACACCUGUAAUCCCAUCACUUUGGGAGGCCAAGGUGGGUGGAUCACUUGAGGUCAGGAGUCUGAGACCA